Molecule: ribosomal RNA, 492 nt
Filed under: uncultured bacterium
Lineage: Bacteria
Description: partial 16S ribosomal RNA
Rfam family: Bacterial small subunit ribosomal RNA
Source: RNAcentral
AGUGAACGCUGGCGGUAGGCCUAACACAUGCAAGUCGAACGGCAGCACAGUAAGAGCUUGCUCUUACGGGUGGCGAGUGGCGGACGGGUGAGGAAUACAUCGGAAUCUACUUUUUCGUGGGGGAUAACGUAGGGAAACUUACGCUAAUACCGCAUACGACCUACGGGUGAAAGCAUGGGAUCUUCGGACCUUGCGCGAUUGAAUGAGCCGAUGUCGGAUUAGCUAGUUGGCGGGGUAAAGGCCCACCAAGGCGACGAUCCGUAGCUGGUCUGAGAGGAUGAUCAGCCACAAUGGAACUGAGACACGGUCCAGACUCCUACGGGAGGCAGCAGUGGGGAAUAUUGGACAAUGGGCGCAAGCCUGAUCCAGCCAUACCGCGUGGGUGAAGAAGGACUUCGGGUUGUAAAGCCCUUUUGUUGGGAAAGAAAAGCAGCAGGUUAAUACCCCGCUGUUCUGACGGUACCCAAAGAAUAAGCACCGGCUAACUUCGUG